UUAACGUCAAGACUCGAAGCUAUUAACCUCAGGCUUUUCUUCUCUACUGAAAGUGCUUUACAACCCGCAGGCCUUCUUCACACACGCGGCAUUGCUGGAUCAGGGUUGCCCCCAUUGUCCAAUAUUCCCU
Molecule: ribosomal RNA, 130 nt
Filed under: uncultured bacterium
Lineage: Bacteria
Description: partial 16S ribosomal RNA
Source: RNAcentral